AAACUAAUCCAUCAUAUUUUUGCUUCGGUUCCGUUGUUGAUUUACCCUUUGGACAGAAACCAAGUUUACAAUGUUAUUCCGGCAGUGCUCCGUGAAUCUGUCCACUGGGGUCGUUUCAUCUUCCGUCGGAAGAUAUUAUUCGGACAUCAGGGUGCAGCAUUUCGAUUUCUCAGUCACGCAUAGGAACAUCUGAAAAUUGAUCGAGCUGAUGGAAGACCACCGACGGUGAGUAAACUACAUUGGUAAAAGGUCCGUGGAUUUGCACGACAGCGAGCAACAACCCAACCCCACCGAUCGGUAGUAGGACAGUAGGCGACGCUUUGAAAUCGACGGAAAAAGAAUCAAAUGAUCAUGCGAAAUAUCACUUUGCACUCAACGUUCCCUGCGCAACUGUGUCCGGUGCCAAUACCAACCCCACGUGAGUGACCAAUCGGAUAGCCGCUUAUGUGGUCGGGAUCGGAUUCAACCUAUCAUCUUUUCAUAAAGUAGACGACUCUUCCAAGGAUCCAAAGCGAAAGGAUGUCUGAUGUUGCAGGUCAGGUAAAACGACGAGGUCAUUUAAGGAGGACUAAUGUUUUGGACUGGCACUGGAUUACGGGACGAAUGACCCUCGUGUUAAAGUCCCCCUCAGCAAAUAACAACAACUAGCACUGGCAGAAUCAAUUAUUGAAACCUAGCAAUUAUUCCGCUAUUGCUGAGGAAACAGUGAAAUAAAAGCGAUAAAAAUUUAAUUUUAA
This 737-nucleotide long non-coding RNA is filed under the name Aedes aegypti (yellow fever mosquito). RNAcentral's name for it is "lncRNA AAEL025084". The record is from RNAcentral. Lineage: Eukaryota; Metazoa; Arthropoda; Insecta; Diptera; Culicidae.